AGAAUUGACGAGCCCAUCGCUGACAAAUUGUGACGCACGAAUCAUCCGGAAGGGAGGUGGAAGGGCAUUUCUGUCGAUUCACCGGGGCUGUUGCCAAAAGGUAUAGAGUGCGAGAGAGAGAGAGAGAGAGAUUUUUUUUUAGGAGGUAAUCGAGUCGGUAUACAGGAUGAUGAAACGGAAGAGGGCUGCCGGAGAAUAAGAGCCAGUUCGGAAUCGGGUAAUGCGCCUAUACAAUAGCAGCCUUUCUUCGAUAAGAGAUGUACACACAAGCGGAGAUAACGGGCUCCACCGAAAAAGUUGUUAG
Cinara cedri is the source of this 304-nucleotide non-coding RNA. Lineage: Eukaryota; Metazoa; Arthropoda; Insecta; Hemiptera; Aphididae. The record is from the annotation of a GenBank genome assembly.